This 468-nucleotide ribosomal RNA is filed under the name uncultured bacterium. Its description in RNAcentral is "bacterial SSU rRNA". It matches the Rfam family "Bacterial small subunit ribosomal RNA", at positions 29 to 524 of the family's 1533-position model. The record is from RNAcentral.
AACGAACGCUGGCGGCAGGCUUAACACAUGCAAGUCGAACGAUGUAGCAAUACAUAGUGGCGCACGGGUGAGUAACGCGUGGGAAUAUACCAAUCAGUGGGAAUAACUUUGGGAAACUAAAGCUAAUACCGCAUACGCCCGAGAGGGGAAAGAUUUAUCGCUGAUUGAUUAGCCCGCGUGAGAUUAGGUAGUUGGUGGGGUAAUGGCCUACCAAGCCUACGAUCUCUAGCUGGUCUGAGAGGAUGAUCAGCCACACUGGAACUGAGACACGGUCCAGACUCCUACGGGAGGUAGCAGUGGGGAAUAUUGGGCAAUGGAGGAAACUCUGACCCAGCCAUGCCGCGUGAAUGAUGACGGCCCUAUGGGUUGUAAACUGCUUUUAUACAAGAGAAACCCUGGUACGUGUACCAGGUUGAUAGUAUUGUAAGAAUAAGCAUCGGCUAACUUCGUGCCAGCAGCCGCGGUAAU